CUGCUGCCUUCCGUAGGAGUUUGGGCCGUGUCUCAGUCCCAAUGUGGCCGUUCACCCUCUCAGGCCGGCUACUGAUCGUCGCCUUGGUGGGCUGUUACCCCGCCAACAAGCUAAUCAGACGCGGAUCCAUCGUAUACCACCGGAGUUUUUCACACCGUCUCAUGCGAGACUGUGCGCUUAUGCGGUAUUAGCACCUAUUUCUAAGUGUUAUCCCCCAGUAUACGGCAGGUUAUCCACGCGUUACUCACCCGUCG
This 254-nucleotide ribosomal RNA is filed under the name uncultured bacterium. RNAcentral's name for it is "partial 16S ribosomal RNA". The record is from RNAcentral.